Molecule: ribosomal RNA, 1363 nt
Filed under: unidentified marine bacterioplankton
Lineage: Bacteria
Description: bacterial SSU rRNA
Rfam family: Bacterial small subunit ribosomal RNA
Source: RNAcentral
GAGUUUGAUCAUGGCUCAGAUUGAACGCUGGCGGCAUGCCUUACACAUGCAAGUCGAACGGCAGCACGGGUGCUUGCACCUGGUGGCGAGUGGCGAACGGGUGAGUAAUACAUCGGAACAUGUCCUGUAGUGGGGGAUAGCCCGGCGAAAGCCGGAUUAAUACCGCAUACGAUCUACGGAUGAAAGCGGGGGACCUUCGGGCCUCGCGCUAUAGGGUUGGCCGAUGGCUGAUUAGCUAGUUGGUGGGGUAAAGGCCUACCAAGGCGACGAUCAGUAGCUGGUCUGAGAGGACGACCAGCCACACUGGGACUGAGACACGGCCCAGACUCCUACGGGAGGCAGCAGUGGGGAAUUUUGGACAAUGGGCGAAAGCCUGAUCCAGCAAUGCCGCGUGUGUGAAGAAGGCCUUCGGGUUGUAAAGCACUUUUGUCCGGAAAGAAAUCCUUGGCUCUAAUACAGUCGGGGGAUGACGGUACCGGAAGAAUAAGCACCGGCUAACUACGUGCCAGCAGCCGCGGUAAUACGUAGGGUGCGAGCGUUAAUCGGAAUUACUGGGCGUAAAGCGUGCGCAGGCGGUUUGCUAAGACCGAUGUGAAAUCCCCGGGCUCAACCUGGGAACUGCAUUGGUGACUGGCAGGCUAGAGUAUGGCAGAGGGGGGUAGAAUUCCACGUGUAGCAGUGAAAUGCGUAGAGAUGUGGAGGAAUACCGAUGGCGAAGGCAGCCCCCUGGGCCAAUACUGACGCUCAUGCACGAAAGCGUGGGGAGCAAACAGGAUUAGAUACCCUGGUAGUCCACGCCCUAAACGAUGUCAACUAGUUGUUGGGGAUUCAUUUCCUUAGUAACGUAGCUAACGCGUGAAGUUGACCGCCUGGGGAGUACGGUCGCAAGAUUAAAGCUCAAAGGAAUUGACGGGGACCCGCACAAGCGGUGGAUGAUGUGGAUUAAUUCGAUGCAACGCGAAAAACCUUACCUACCCUUGACAUGGUCGGAAUCCCGCUGAGAGGUGGGAGUGCUCGAAAGAGAACCGGCGCACAGGUGCUGCAUGGCUGUCGUCAGCUCGUGUCGUGAGAUGUUGGGUUAAGUCCCGCAACGAGCGCAACCCUUGUCCUUAGUUGCUACGCAAGAGCACUCUAAGGAGACUGCCGGUGACAAACCGGAGGAAGGUGGGGAUGACGUCAAGUCCUCAUGGCCCUUAUGGGUAGGGCUUCACACGUCAUACAAUGGUCGGAACAGAGGGUUGCCAACCCGCGAGGGGGAGCUAAUCCCAGAAAACCGAUCGUAGUCCGGAUUGCACUCUGCAACUCGAGUGCAUGAAGCUGGAAUCGCUAGUAAUCGCGGAUCAGCAUGCCGCGGUGAAUACGU